GACGAACGCUGGCGGCGUGCUUAACACAUGCAAGUCGAACGGAAAGGCCCUGCUUUUGUGGGGUGCUCGAGUGGCGAACGGGUGAGUAACACGUGAGUAACCUGUCCUUGACUUUGGGAUAACUUCAGGAAACUGGGGCUAAUACCGGAUAGGAGCUCCUGCUGCAUGGUGGGGGUUGGUAAGUUUCGGCGGUUGGGGAUGGACUCGCGGCUUAUCAGCUUGUUGGUGGGGUAGUGGCUUACCAAGGCUUUGACGGGUAGCCGGCCUGAGAGGGUGACCGGCCACAUUGGGACUGAGAUACGGCCCGGACUCCAACGGGAGGCAGCGGUGGGGAAUUUUGCACAAUGGGCGGGAGCCUGGUGCGGCAACGCCGCGUGCGGGAUGACGGCCUUCGGGUUGUGAACCGCUUUCGCCUGUGACGAAGCGUGAGUGACGGUAAUGGGUAAAGAAGCUCCGGCUAACUACGUG
RNAcentral lists this ribosomal RNA (468 nucleotides) under uncultured bacterium. Its description in RNAcentral is "partial 16S ribosomal RNA". It matches the Rfam family "Bacterial small subunit ribosomal RNA", at positions 28 to 507 of the family's 1533-position model. The record is from RNAcentral.